This 403-nucleotide ribosomal RNA is filed under the name uncultured bacterium. RNAcentral describes it as "bacterial SSU rRNA". It matches the Rfam family "Bacterial small subunit ribosomal RNA", at positions 355 to 774 of the family's 1533-position model. The record is from RNAcentral. RNAcentral also lists the same sequence under 1 other name.
UCGGGAAUAUUGCGCAAUGGAGGAAACUCUGACGCAGUGACGCCGCGUAUAGGAAGAAGGUUUUCGGAUUGUAAACUAUUGUCGUUAGGGAAGAAAAAGGACAGUACCUAAGGAGGAAGCUCCGGCUAACUACGUGCCAGCAGCCGCGGUAAUACGUAGGGAGCGAGCGUUAUCCGGAUUUAUUGGGUGUAAAGGGUGCGUAGACGGGCUAACAAGUUAGUUGUGAAAUCCCUCGGCUUAACUGAGGAACUGCAACUAAAACUGUAAGUCUUGAGUGCAGGAGAGGUAAGUGGAAUUCCUAGUGUAGCGGUGAAAUGCGUAGAUAUUAGGAGGAACACCAGUGGCGAAGGCGACUUACUGGACUGUAACUGACGUUGAGGCACGAAAGUGUGGGGAGCAAACA